Nicotiana attenuata is the source of this 3016-nucleotide long non-coding RNA. RefSeq lists it as uncharacterized. The record is from RefSeq and is a predicted model, not a curated record. The transcript has 2 exons. Lineage: Eukaryota; Viridiplantae; Streptophyta; Magnoliopsida; Solanales; Solanaceae.
UGCUGCUGGCUUUCUCCUUCUGGUUUUUUUUUUGCUCAACUUUUUUUUUUUAAUUUUGUGGUUUAUUUCUAUUUUUUAUAUAUGCUUGUCACUGCUUUUGGUAUUCUUUGUACAUUUUUUUUUUGUGACUUUUCGGUUUUUCUAAUUGCUCUUUCCACGUUGUUCUUCCUCUUCUCUCUAUCCACAGGUGAGUUUGCUCAACUUUUUUUCCAAUCUUCUGAUUCUCUCCUUAGUCCCUCUUCCUUUAUGUCUCUUUUGGAAUUUUCUUGUAACUUUUUUGUUUCUUCAUUACUAAGAAGUAAAAAAAUGGACAAUAUAUAAUUUGGUACAUAAUGAAUUUACAUCGUAUUUUGUGCAUAUGUUUCAAAAUUGCUUCAAAAUAUAAUUUUCAGAUAUGAUUUUCUCUGAUUUUCAGCAAGUCUGCGCUGCAUGUGUUAGCUUGGUGGUAUUAAUGUUUCUAAAGUAUGAAUCUUUUUACUUUUUAAUUUUUGGUUUUCUUUAUUUGUGACCCUGUCACUGAUUUUUGUUGUUGGGUCUCGGAUACCAUUUUGUUGCUUGUUCUUUUGUUUGAUUUUGUGGGUAUUCAGCAAAUUUAGGCGUCAUUGUAGCGUAUGUCUCCCUUAUUAAGUUUUCCCUCUUUUUUUUAUCCAUCUUUAAAUUGUUAAACUAAUAUUCUUUAUCCCUUUUUCUUGAAAUUUAAGUACGUCAGAGAGUAUAAUAUUGGAGAAAUAAGUAAAAAAAAUAGAUGUUUGGGGAAUACCUAAGAUUUACUUUAGGGAAUGAAUAAAUGUAGCAGAAAUUUCAUUUGAAAAUGGAAGUUGCUCAAGUUGGGAAGAAAGAUUAAGUUGUGAGUUUACCGUGCUGUGUGUUUUCGCCCUUAUGCUUGUAGAACAAAAUUAGUCCUAGUAGAUUGAUUCUCUCCAUGCCCUUACAUUUGUAGGUUUUUACAUUAGGCGAAAAAAAUAUGUUGCCAGCCGGGAAAAGAGGAAAUCUUCAGUAAUACUUUCAUUUGUAUCUUGGCAUUUAGGAUAUUGCGCAGAUAUAAUACAAUAACUUCGUUGGUACCUCGCAGAACUCUUGUAAUCACAUCAGUUUGUUUUCUUAGAAUAUUAUUUAUUAUUCAAAUAUUUUUGGUGAAUUAGGUGUGUAUUAUAGAUUCGUAGCUCGGCUUCGGAGCAGGUCAAUAUAGUGAACAUCUGAAUGAUAUAUAUACUAUGUUGGAUUUUUAUCAAGUGUUAGAAAUGAUUAUUGAUACAUAUCAACCUGUUUCAAACAGAUAGAACUUAUUAUCCUUACAUUUUGUAGGACUGUCAAGUAAUUUUACCCUACAAAUAGCCUCACCAGAUAGAUUCAUAAAUAUGUAUUUUGCCAUAUGUUGCAUUGUUAUCCGCUCAGAUUAUUGUUAUUGUCUCUUUGAGUCAGGGCCAACAGCUAUUGCUACUUAUUUUUAGGUGAAUCAUGUCUUAAGUUUUCUUCUUUACGAACUUACUCAUAGGAGAAUUAAAGAACGCUAUGAUGUAGAUGAUACAAGAGUCCUAGAAAGUAGAAACUUCAUAUAUGUAACUUCUGUCAAUUUUCUUAAUUACAGUUUUUGGACCUUUUUUGGCUAUUGUGUGCUCCCUUUUUCUCAAAUUACUCUUUGUAUUCCUAUUUGGGACAAUUCCUCGAAUUUUGAAGCAAAGAUAUCUUAACCCUGGCGUUAGAGGACUUCGGUACAAUAAAUUAAAAUAACUUGAGAUGCUUGUAUUUUUUUGAACCUUAAACAUCUAGCUGAAACAAGUUGCUCAGAAAGAUGCUUUCUAAUGUUAGAUCAGAGGUGAUAUAUUUAUUAAACCAUACGGAGGAAAACUUAUGCCACAUAUUACUGCUUCAAAUGUUAUUUCUUAGCUUUGUUUGACUUCUUUGCUUUCAAUAAUUUUUGUACAUGACUAAAAUGAAAGUUGAUUUUAUCUCAUGCAACCUUUGUGUGAUAGGUUUGUGGUUCGAUUUUCUUUAUUAUUUGCCAUCAUAUUGGUCUUGUGAAAAAUGUAUGAUAAUAAAAGGGGAAGAGCUUUGUUCAUGCUAUAGUUUUACUGAACAAAUUGGAAAAACUGGAAUUUACCAGAGAAUCUUUGCACACUGCUACUAUUCUGUUGCAGCCACAUUUUUAAUUUUAAAGUAUCUAAUGUUGGCAUGUCAUGGGCCUAGAAUGGUGUAAUUACUAUAGUGGUUGAUGAUCUUUGAUAUUGGAGGUCAUGUGGAAGAGCUGACCAACCUAAUUUAGUUGUUUGAGAAGUAUAUGUUUCCUUUCGUAUUCUUUAUUCUUAAUAUUCGUUGGUGAUUUUAGCAGUUUAUUGUCUUUUUGAUAGGCGGGAUACAGAUAUCAGCACUGACUGCUACUCAGAGUUGGCAUUGCAUUUUUGGCGCUUCCCAUCAUUAUUUAAGUGCAUAACACGUAAGGCUGCAAGACAAAUAACCGAGACUGGAAAACUCUUUUUAACUUUUUGCUGCUAACUAAUAAAGAUAUUGCACUCUAUGACAUUCAUAUUCCAUAGUUCACCUGCACCACAUAAUUAAAACUUGCAGUAUGGCAUGCUAAUCAAGGAUUUUAUUAUUUUUGGCCUAGGAACUAUUAGGAAGAAAUUUACUAUGUGGGUCAUGAUAUGUCAAGUUAAAGUGUAGAACGCAAAAAACAACAACAACAACUACCCAGUAUAGUCCCACAAGGUGGGGUCUGGGACGCAAAAAAGAGAAUGUCAAUUACACUUACCUCCAUUUAGCUCUUAGAUCUUGUACCUCCAAGAUAAACUAUGAGCUGUCAACUGUUAAAAUCCGAAUUUUAUCUGUGUAGCAUCAACUUUUUUAUUAGUUGGAUCACCAAUAUGAAUUUGAAUAAUCCGUCUUAUUUUUGUAUUUCUCAUUCUCAUGGAAGCAAGCUCAAGAAUGUAUUUGUACAACUUUGUUCACAAGUGAAUGUACAUAGUAUGAAGCAUAUUAUAUUAAUAUUUCUCAAUGUCGGACCACUUUUGUACAUCGA